GACGAACGCUGGCGGCGUGCCUAACACAUGCAAGUGGAGCGACGAACCAGGGCUUGCCCUGGGGCAAAGCCGCGAACGGGUGAGUAACACGUGGGUAACCUGCCCCGAUGACCGGGACAACCCGAGGAAACUCGGGCUAAUACCGGAUGUGCUCCUCGCACAUCAGUGCGUUGAGUAAAGGAAGCUUCGGCCUCCGCUUCGGGAGGGGCCCGCGGCCCAUUAGCUAGUUGGUGAGGUAACGGCUCACCAAGGCCGCGAUGGGUAGCUGGUCUGAGAGGACGAUCAGCCACACUGGGACUGAGACACGGCCCAGACUCCUACGGGAGGCAGCAGUGGGGAAUCUUGCGCAAUGCGCGAAAGCGUGACGCAGCAACGCCGCGUGGGGGAAGAAGGCCUUCGGGUUGUAAACCCCUUUCAGGAGGGACGAAGGUGCGGCGGCGAACAGCCGUCCGUACUGACGGUACCUCCAGAAGAAGCCCCGGCUAACUACGUGCCAGCCGCCGCGGUAAGAC
RNAcentral lists this ribosomal RNA (512 nucleotides) under uncultured bacterium. RNAcentral's name for it is "bacterial SSU rRNA". It matches the Rfam family "Bacterial small subunit ribosomal RNA", at positions 28 to 526 of the family's 1533-position model. The record is from RNAcentral.